GAUGAACGCUGGCGGCGUGCCUAAUACAUGCAAGUCGAGCGAACGGACGAGAAGCUUGCUUCUCUGAUGUUAGCGGCGGACGGGUGAGUAACACGUGGAUAACCUACCUAUAAGACUGGGAUAACUUCGGGAAACCGUAGCUAAUACCGGAUAAUAUUUUGAACCGCAUGGUUCAAAAGUGAAAGACGGUCUUGCUGCCACUUAUAGAUGGAUCCGCGCUGCAUUAGCUAGUUGGUAAGGUAACGGCUUACCAAGGCAACGAUGCAUAGCCGACCUGAGAGGGUGAUCGGCCACACUGGAACUGGGACACGGUCCAGACUCCUACGGGAGGCAGCAGUAGGGAAUCUUCCGCAAUGGGCGAAAGCCUGACGGAGCAACGCCGCGUGAGUGAUGAAGGUCUUCGGAUCGUAAAACUCUGUUAUUAGGGAAGAACAUAUGUGUAAGUAACUGUGCACAUCUUGACGGUACCUAAUCAGAAAGCCACGGCUAACUACGUG
RNAcentral lists this ribosomal RNA (497 nucleotides) under uncultured bacterium. RNAcentral describes it as "partial 16S ribosomal RNA". It matches the Rfam family "Bacterial small subunit ribosomal RNA", at positions 28 to 507 of the family's 1533-position model. The record is from RNAcentral.